RNAcentral lists this ribosomal RNA (497 nucleotides) under uncultured bacterium. RNAcentral describes it as "partial 16S ribosomal RNA". It matches the Rfam family "Bacterial small subunit ribosomal RNA", at positions 28 to 507 of the family's 1533-position model. The record is from RNAcentral.
GAUGAACGCUGGCGGCGUGCCUAAUACAUGCAAGUCGAGCGAACGGACGAGAAGCUUGCUUCUCUGAUGUUAGCGGCGGACGGGUGAGUAACACGUGGAUAACCUACCUAUAAGACUGGGAUAACUUCGGGAAACCGGAGCUAAUACCGGAUAAUAUUUUGAACCGCAUGGUUCAAAAGUGAAAGACGGUCUUGCUGUCACUUAUAGAUGGAUCCGCGCUGCAUUAGCUAGUUGGUAAGGUAACGGCUUACCAAGGCAACGAUGCAUAGCCGACCUGAGAGGGUGAUCGGCCACACUGGAACUGAGACUCGGUCCAGACUCCUACGGGAGGCAGCAGUAGGGAAUCUUCCGCAAUGGGCGAAAGCCUGACGGAGCAACGCCGCGUGAGUGAUGAAGGUCUUCGGAUCGUAAAACUCUGUUAUCAGGGAAGAACAUAUGUGUAAGUAACUGUGCACAUCUUGACGGUACCUAAUCAGAAAGCCACGGCUAACUACGUG